This 465-nucleotide ribosomal RNA is filed under the name Vreelandella stevensii. Its description in RNAcentral is "partial 16S ribosomal RNA". It matches the Rfam family "Bacterial small subunit ribosomal RNA", at positions 338 to 795 of the family's 1533-position model. The record is from RNAcentral. Lineage: Bacteria; Pseudomonadati; Pseudomonadota; Gammaproteobacteria; Oceanospirillales; Halomonadaceae.
CCUACGGGUGGCUGCAGUGGGGAAUAUUGGACAAUGGGGGGAACCCUGAUCCAGCCAUGCCGCGUGUGUGAAGAAGGCCCUCGGGUUGUAAAGCACUUUCAGUGAGGAAGAACGCCUGGUGGUUAAUACCCAUCAGGAAAGACAUCACUCACAGAAGAAGCACCGGCUAACUCCGUGCCAGCAGCCGCGGUAAUACGGAGGGUGCGAGCGUUAAUCGGAAUUACUGGGCGUAAAGCGCGCGUAGGUGGCUUGAUAAGCCGGUUGUGAAAGCCCCGGGCUCAACCUGGGAACGGCAUCCGGAACUGUCAAGCUAGAGUGCAGGAGAGGAAGGUAGAAUUCCCGGUGUAGAGAUGAAAUGCGUAGAGAUCGGGAGGAAUACCAGUGGCGAAGGCGGCCUUCUGGACUGACACUGACACUGAGGUGCGAAAGCGUGGGUAGCAAACAGGAUUAGAUACCCCAGUAGUC